GAAUAUUGCACAAUGGGGGAAACCCUGAUGCAGCGACGCCGCGUGAGUGAAGAAGUAUCUCGGUACGUAAAGCUCUAUCAGCAGGGAAGAAAAUGACGGUACCUGACUAAGAUGCCCCGGCUCACUACGUUCCAGCAGCCGCGGUCAUACGUAGGGGGCAAGCGUUAUCCGGAUUUACUGGGUGUAAAGGGAGCGUAGACGGCAGGGCAAGUCUGGAGUGAAAGCCCGGGGCUCAACCCCGGGACUGCUUUGGAAGCUGCCUGGCUAGAGUGCAGGAGAGGUAAGAGGAAUUCCUAGUGUAGCGGUGAAAUGCGUAGAAAUUAGGAGGAACACCAGUGGCGAAGGCGGCUUACUGGACUGUACCUGACACUGAGGCUCGAAAGCGUGGGGAGCAAACAGG
This 400-nucleotide ribosomal RNA is filed under the name uncultured bacterium. Its description in RNAcentral is "partial 16S ribosomal RNA". It matches the Rfam family "Bacterial small subunit ribosomal RNA", at positions 359 to 776 of the family's 1533-position model. The record is from RNAcentral.